AUGUCACAGCUCUGAGAAAGACAGAGGUUCUUCUAAGAACAGUGUCCACCAUACUGAAAAGGUGACUUUUCCUUGAGGUUCUCUGAAUUUGUGUUCUUUUUCCAUUGCAUAUGUGAAAAUCGUGGCAUUGACACAUUUAUUUGUUUCAUCACAGACAUGAGGAACGGGGAUCACUGGCUUCUGAGCAAUCUACUUUCACAGUGUCAUUUACUUGAUUUUUCAGCUAUGACCUUUUAAUGUAAGGUGAACAUUCCAGAAACAUUUCGGACUAUCCUUUCAUAAUUCACCUAUGUUUCUCGAUGACUUUGAGCUAAGAAUGCCCUUAAAUAUCUCUGUUUUACAUUUGACCAUCUUCAGGAGAGGAUUUAACUUAGCUUGCUCAGGAGUAGGCGGAUCUAAUUGUGAAUGUAUCCAGAUUCCCUAAGUCUCAGUGCUUCCUUUAUUGAGCACAAUCAUUGCUUUGGAAAUGGCUCCUAUGCCCUCCUUACCUGCCACAGGAAAAAAUCUUUUUCAGCUGUUCUGUUUUGGAUGUUAUGCUAGCUAUUCUUGGUAGCGAAAUUAACCACAUCUGGAAUUAACUAAAACCCAAAGAGUUGGGUAGUGUGGGGAAUUUUUCUUAAUUAUAUUUUUGUACCUGGGAAAAACCUUAUUCUGGAUCUCUCGAUGCGAUAAGAUCCACCUUUAGUCUAGGUGACAGCUUCCCAUGGCAGCUUACAUAUAUAAAGGAGAUUGAAGAUGGUAGAUCUUUUUCUCUUUGUCCGCUUGCCCUACCUCUGGCUAGCAAUUUCAAUCUUUCAAACUGGCAUUAGAGCCUAUUUCUUUGAAAUUCAGGUAUAUACUGAAAACCAGCUUGUUGGGAGAGUGCCCUUGAAGCCCUCCAUUGUUGAUGUUAUUAUUAUGGUUAGAAUUAAGUAUGACUAGGUUCAUGGAAAAUCCCCAGCCAGCUGCAGAAGUCUAAUACAAAUCUGGUGGUCAAAAAAAUAAUAAUAUGAUAAAGUUCUCCUGCUGACUAAUAAUAUGACAAACCUGUGACCUUUGUAACAUCCUGUCAACAUCAGCCGAUUCCCUGACCACACGAAUACUGUGUCCUUGGCCUGUGUAAAUGUUUCACACUUCCCCCUCCCUCUGUUACCCCUGUUAUGGUAUAAAUUCAGCCUUGGAGAAAAAUAAAAUUGUCGCCUUGAUCAGACUCCUGUCUUGGUGUCCUUCUUUGUGUCUCUUGUCCCCCAUUCUCUUCCAGGUACCCCCAUCCCCGUCGUUGACAAAUGGCGCCCAGUGUGCAGCUGUUUGGAGGUCUUCUGGAGGAGAACAUCGUCCCCCGUGAAUAGACAGGCCUGUCUUCCUUGUUUGUCGGAGCCUUUGCUCCCUCGCUUUUGGCAACCAUGGACUGCCAACCUUGGUUCAGAGGCUUGGUGUGUGUUUCUCCCCUGACAACACAGAUCUCAGUGGUGAGUGAUGGGACAAGCAUUCUACAGAUAGCUUUUGUGACAGGACUCAGGGAGUCUCUCAGGAUGCGAAGAAUAGGGUUAAAAUUUUUAAAUAAAUUCUUAGAUUCUGUAGGAAAUAUUUGUCCAUAGUUCUCCCAGGGGGAACAAUUGACAGUUGGUGAUUGUUUAAUGGAUUGGCUAACCCUGUUGCUGAAGUCUGCCUUCUGUAAUGAAUAAAAGUUGUGUGCUUUUUGGGUUCAAGGUUGCCUCUCCCUGCAUGGAUGAGCAACCCCACAUACGUGGAUUAAAAACCUUAUACUCUCAUGCUAUUGCAGUGGUCACUUUGUCAAUCUGUGCUCUAUGGGUGGCACUCCUGAGGUAAGGCCACUAUGGGGUCUUACAACAUUUUUGUGCAUCAACCGGGAAUUGCACUCCUCCGAGACCACAAUUGGCAAAGAGAUCGGUGGUAAGCUCGAGCAAAUCUGUGUUCUGUGUUCUGUGUUACUUUCUGUUUUGUCUCUGUGUCAUGUUGUCUCAUCUUUGUUUCAUGUUGUCUUGUGUUGUCUGCGUCUGCUGUCUGAAGGGUUUGAGUCCCUUCAGAGGGGGGUUUGAGUCCCCCUCGGAGAGGGGUUAGAGUUCCCUCAGUGGUCGCUGUGGGUUCUGUGAGGGGCUUAUGGCUGUGACAGGCAGACGUGCUAGUUGUCACAGGCCACAGGCCCCAAAGGAUGCUCUAGGAGGAGAAAGGAAUCUAGAGGACACUCAAGAAUCCCAUUGAGAGGUGGAAUCAGACAGUCUGCCUCAUCCCAGAAGCAGCUAAGGUUAAGUUGCAGUUUGGGCCAGGUACUGAAGGUAUCAAGCAUCUGUGGAAAUUGGUUAUAGGAUGCCUUCUCUUGGUCUGGUUUGUCUAGUUUGUUUUCUGUGGUAUUGUCAUGUCUUUUUGGCUUUUGUUUUGUUUUUGGACUUGGACUGAUGACUGUGUUUGAAUUCAUGGACUGACGACUGUGUUUCAAAUCAUGGAGCUGUUUGUCAAGGAAUUUUACUUGGUUCUCUUGGUGCUUAACUUGGAAAUAAUUUGCUUGAGAGAAAUUGUUUUCUCCCCCGGGAGUUUUGUCUUUCUCUCUUGAGCCUCCUCCCCAAGGACAGAUGUCCCUCCUUUUGAUCCCCUUGCCCAGUCUAGCAACUAUUAACAGUUUAUCAUACAUGCGCAUGAAGGACUCCAGGUUAUCCAGUGAUCAUGUCUGAAGUAGGCAUAAACAAGAACCUGAAAGCUUUGCCUUGGAUCCUGAAGAAAGGAUCUCUCUGUUGUUUAGACAGUCACAGCUUCUAAAGAAGAGACAGCACAGAGUAGUGAAGUGUGGGGCUGAGGGUGACAGACAGCGAGCCUGCUAGCAAGCAAGCUGCAGGCUGAGCAUGGGCAGCAGCACAGCUCAGGCCAAGUCGGUGUAAGAGGAGUUUCAAGGUGAUGAGGCCGGCUGGGGCUGACGCUUUAACAGCAAAAAGAUAGUGGAGAGUUAGUGAUUAUUUAUUUUAAAGAUUAUUAUGAGACUUUUGGCCCUGAAAAAAAUUCCAGUCUCUGCCUUCAGUGGCCAGACCUUCAACACUUGCUCACAGGAGAGCGUUCAUUAAGAGAAGUUCUUUAAGGGAGCCUGCCGUAUCUGCUGGCCCUAUUCCAAGAGAGAGUUGAUCUCCAGCAUUAAGUCGCCUUCCCCGUUAGUCAUCAUUGACAUAGAGAGUGCCUCUGAUCCUAUCCCCACAGCAGUCAGUUCCUGCCCCUAUGGUCAAAAUGCCCCAGGCUUGGGGGCAGGGAGCCCCUAAAGUAGUUUCAGAAAGAGUCUGCAGCAGGAACUUUGUUUUGCCAGACAGAACAGGCUUUACUCUAGGAUGAUAACAGGAGAACGUCUUGGCAGGGGCUCUUCAGCCUACUCCAACUGGAGGCUGUGGCCAAGGUCAGGAUCAAUGUUUUCUUUUCCAUGGACCUCUAACCCAGUGAGACAGCUUGGUGAGGACUGCUACUGAAGUCCUGGAAUUCAGAGGCACAGGGAGGGCUAUAGUACUAUUAAAGGGCAGUACUCCAGUGUUAGCAAUCCCUUUAUUGGAUAUAAGAGGCAGGAAGCCCCACUCAACUGUGACUCCUGCCUCAGGAAUGGCAGUGGAAAGAGUCCUUACAGCCAGUCAUCUCUAACUAUAGCUUACUCUCUGAUAUCCGAGGCUUCAAUCGGAUCACACCCCCCUGGGCAAGCCUAACUUCAACACUCUAGAGACUCAGAUGCUUUUCUCCCCUGGUCUCUUGACUCAAGGUUGCCAGGAGUGUCUGACAUCCUGGAAGAAACCUCCCCCCUAAAGCGGACGAGUCAUACAAUUCUUUUGUCAGCCGCUUGGCAUCUAGCACCCAGGUCCUAACCAUCUCUCCAUCCUUUUGUUAUUAGUUCUUACUGGAAGCCUAGUGACGUUUGGAGGCUGAGUCUCUUGAGAGGCAGAGCCACCGAGCUGACACUGAAGGGAGGUACUCCUUAAGGGAGAAUCUAAGUCCAGAGGGACAGCCAGUAACAGACUGCAGCUGCCCCUCUGCUCACCUUUCUGUUUCACAGGCACAACGCUUGCUCUCGUUUUUGCACUGGCCUUUUUGUCCCAAGAAAGCUUCCUGGUUUAGCUGUGUGACUGAAUGCUAUUUGUCACCUGAUCUGGUUGUUCUGCCAGCUCUCACUGGGCCAUCCUCUAGCUUUCUUGCCUGGCCCCUUUCCUCUGUUCUUAAGAAUUUUAUCACCUAAUACACUGCAUUGUUUGACUUAUAAUACCUCCCGUCCUACUAAUAUGCAUGUCCCAGAUUCCCAUUGUGAAGGUUCUAAUUCUAAAACAAGGGGAUGGUGUAUCCCCCUAAAUAUUAAAUUUACCUCUGUGGUUUGAAACCAGGAUUGAAUACGUGGAUAUACUUGGGGUCUUAGAAUGUUUCAAUCACGUGCUGAUAAAGGGAUUAUAUUUACCAUAAAAUUGUUAAAAGAGCCUGUACAUUCCUACUUCCUGCCUUUUGGUCACUCAUCCCAAGAAGGAGCCCAUGGAGGUGCUGAACACGGUGCAGGGCACACGAGACUUCAUCUAUAGCCUGCACUCCACCAAGAGGAGCUGCUUGCUCAAAGAACUGCACUGCUUCAAGACCACUGCUGUCCCACAAGAAGAACUGGAAGCUCUACCGCCCUCUCCAGGACAGCUGAGAUAUGUAUUCUUCCACAAUGCGAUACCUUUUGUAGGGUUUGGCUUUUUGGAUAAUGCUAUUAUGAUUGUUAAAGAACCCAAAUUGAAUUGUCUAUUGGAUUUAUUUUGAGAAUUUCAACAAUAUCAAUCAACAUGUUACUUUUCCUCCUAUGUAUCAACAUAUUAUUUAAUUUUCAGUUAUUGAUGCUGUACUGUACUGAGUUGGGGUUUGCUUAUUUCUGAUUUAACAUGCAUGGGAUACCUAUGUAUGUCUUUUUUUUCUGAUGGUUAUAAUUCAAUGCUGAGGUUUCUCCAAAUUAUUUAAGAUGUUUAAUAUCAGUUAAAAUUGUAAUUCUCUGCCUGGUGGCAUCCCUUCUGUGAUAUUUCAUGGUAAACAUCUAAAAUCAUAUAAAUUCAUUCAAUUUUUAAGCUUCCACAUCUAUCCAAAAUGGAGUAGAGUUUUAAGUAUAUCUGACUAUUUUAAUUUUGACCUGCACUGUCUUUAAGAGUCAGAGGUUAAUUAAAAAGGACAAUUGGCUGACCCCUAUUUUACAUAAGCUGUGUAUGCUAACAAGUGUACUUCUUCCUGGUUGUCUUUUUAUCUUUAAUUUCCCAACUUUGAACAAUCACAUUAAUUCUGAUUUGUGAGAGAAAGGCAGUGCUUGGCUACUUCCUGUGUCUUAGAAUAUGGUUAAAGAGAGAUAAAGUCAGAGAAGGCGUAGAAAAGAGAAAAUGAGAAAGAGAAAAAGCUGAGAGCUGAUAUCAAAAUUGCUUCUCCACCUCUCUUUGGUUCUCCACUCUGCUUCCCUCUCUGUUUUGGCCCUCGGACAUUUAAUUGUUUAACCAGCUUUAUUAAACAACAGGUAGAUAAUAUAGCAGCAAAACCUAUCCAGGUACAUUAUCAUAGGCCAGCUAUGGAGGAUGACUACACAUCUCCUCCCAGCCCAGGCAGGGACAUUUUUGUCCUUCAGCCAAAUGAGGCCAACAUUCUUUUUUGCCUGCUGUCCUGAUGCUUUUGCUGAAAAAAAAAAUCAAUGAAUUGUCACCCCUGUGUGCUGAGCUGGACAGUCAAUGACAAGUAAGAGAGUGAUAUAUUCAUGAAUAAAGGGCCUAAGACAGGAGGGCCACCAUUAGCUGCUGCCUUAUCCCAUGACAGACCCUGGCCACAAGAUUCUCUUGGCCAUGUGAUAAAUAUCACUCCAACCUAAGACAGACGCAGUUCCUGAGGGGCUCAUUUCCAGGACAAGCACAGCCAUUUGGCUACCUUUUCAUUUGACUAUGAGGAAGGGGGAGAUGUUGGGAGUGAUGCCCUUGAAGCCCUCCAUUGUUGAUGUUAUUAUUAUGGUUAGAAUUAAGUAUGACUAGGUUCAUGGAAAAUCCCCAGCCAGCUGCAGAAGUCUAAUACAAAUCUGGUGGUCAAGAUAAAUAAUAAUAUGAUAAAGUUCUCCUGCUGACUAAUAAUAUGACAAACCUGUGACCUUUGUAACAUCCUGUCAACAUCAGCCAAUUCCCUGACCACACGAAUACUGUGUCCUUGGCCUGUGUAAAUGUUUCCCACUUCCCCCCUCCCUCUGUUACCCCUGUUAUGGUAUAAAUUCAGCCUUGGAGAAAAAUAAAAUUGUUGCCUUGAUCAGACUCUUGUCUUGGUGUCCUUCUUCGUGUCUCUUGUCCCCCAUUCUCUUCCAGGUACCCCCAUCCCCGUCGUUGACACCAGCUGAGGCAUCUAGCCACAUGAACUGAACAACUAUAGGAUUCUUCACUUUUCCCGUUUUUGGACCCACUGAAGAAGAUGUGCUGGUUAACAGUAGUGCUCCAGUGUUUGUCAUGUGUUUCCUUCUUUGCGCUGAGGGGUCUCAUAACUAUCAGGAUCAGCCUUCCCUGGAGCAUACGUAUCUACAGGAUUAGGUGCGUCUUCUCCCACUGACACCGGAAGAGGCUCUCUUCUGUUACAUAUGUGCCUGGGACCACAUGUCGCGCGCCCAACGUCUCGCCAGCAAGAACGACGCGCGGACAUCAGGAUCCUUCUGCAGCAAAGCGUUUAUUGCAUCUUGAAGAGGAGAGAGCCGGGGCCCAGAAUGGCGCUGCUUAAAUACACCCUAGUGCGGCGCGUCCACACCUGAUUUGUCGCUUACCCAUGAUCUCAUAGGCACGCCCCGGAGUGGGCAAAGACCUGGCACGAAGGCACUCUUGCACAUGUGCACACAGUUAACUUCCUGAAAGGAAGUCGGCUGGCGCGGCGGAGGCCAGCGCCAUCUUGUAAUGGCGAAAGCUAUCCUGGCUUUCCACGUGGGGUGCAGUGGAAGCCAGCGCCAUCUUGUGGUGGCAAAUGUUAUUGCGGCCCUCUACAACCACAGACCAGCCCAUGUAUGCUCCCCGGAGAGGGACUGAGGGAUCUGAGUAGAAGAAGAGGAGGAGAGAAGGGGGUGAGGAUCAGGUAUGGAGGGAGACAGAAGAGAAGCCCAGAGGACCAGGAGAACGAAUGGGAAUCUGCAGCUGCUGGGUGUGGUGGGCGGGGUGAACCUGUCCUUUGUAUUUUCUUUAUAUUCCUAUUUCUAUUUUUACCCCAUGAACUAUUGUUUUUUUCUUCAACAGUUUGCUAGUUUUUCUUGCUUCAUUUAUGGAAUUUCUUGGUUUUGUCUAGUUGUUUGAUCAUAUUUUCCAGGAUUUAUACAUUGCAUCUUUAAGGACCUCUAUCACCUUCAUACUGUUGCUUUUAAGGCCUUCUUCUUGUGCUUUCAGUUAUGGUAGAAUUUUCAAGACUUUCUGUGUGAGGAAAGCUUUGUUCUAUCAUGACAUAUUUUUCUGGCUGUUAUAUUCCUAAACUGGUGUCUAGGCAUCUAGGUUUGUUGUGAUUAUAGUUCUAGGUGCUGAUUUCUGUGUUUUCUUUUGGAGGGAAUUUUGAUCCUAGGUUUAUGUUCUCUGCCCUUUCAGGGAGUAUGUUGGAUGAGUGUUGCUCAUUUACUGAUUUGGUUUUUGGGAGUGUUUAAGGGCGCGUGUUUGCUGGUUUUGGAGGUUGGGGGAAGAGGAAACAAGGGAAAGAUGAUCUUAGUAAUCCAUAGGACAUUUGACAGAAGAGAGAGGAAGCUUUCUUUUGUGUUAUAUAGUCCAGUGCUAGGGAAAACUGAAAAUUGCGUCUAGAGCAACAGAUAGUGUGUUAGAUCUAAGAACAGCCUAAGUGGUCUUCUGGCAAGCAUGGCAUAUGGUUGAGAAGGUGUGUAUCUUGCUGAGCAGGGGCUGGAACAUAGAGGUGAGACAGGAGAAGAAGGGCACUUGAGGAUUUUCUGUGGUAUUUAUUGGGGCCAUGGAAACUGGGAGAAAAAGCUUUUCCUCCUAUUGUGGUACAGUGUUUGGGCAAGUAUGAGAGUUGGUUCUAGAAUACAGAUAGUGGGAUAGCCUCUGGACAGAAUGCCUGGUCUUCUGGCAGUUCUGGCAUGGUUUUCAGUAGGAAGUUUCUGUGUAGAGUCGAGGGCUCAAAUACAAAGACAGUGCAAGAACAGAAAGGAAGAUAGAAAUGAUCUUUGGAUCUAUGGGAGGCACAGACAUAUGAUGGGAAGCUACAGUCCUAAGGACAACCUUGAGCAUUGGAUCUGUGACGGUUUGUAUAUAGUUGGACCAGGGAAUGGCUCUGUUGGAGCAGGUGUGGCCUUGUGGGUGUGGACUUCAUCCUGGAAGCCAGUAUUCUGCUAGCAGCCUUCAGAUGAUGUAGAACUCUCAGCUCUUGUACCAUGUCUACCUGGAUGCUUCCAUGUUCCCGUCUUGAUGAUGAUGAACUAAAACUCUGAACCUGUAAGCCAGCCCCAAAUAAAUGUUUCCUUGUAA
Molecule: non-coding RNA, 8435 nt
Organism: Rattus norvegicus (Norway rat)
Lineage: Eukaryota; Metazoa; Chordata; Mammalia; Rodentia; Muridae
Source: RefSeq, a predicted model, not a curated record